Molecule: ribosomal RNA, 914 nt
Filed under: uncultured Alphaproteobacteria bacterium
Lineage: Bacteria; Pseudomonadati; Pseudomonadota; Alphaproteobacteria
Description: bacterial SSU rRNA
Rfam family: Bacterial small subunit ribosomal RNA (bases 97-914)
Source: RNAcentral
AGCUAUUUAGGUGACACUAUAGAAUACUCAAGCUAUGCAUCCAACGCGUUGGGAGCUCUCCCAUAUGGUCGACCUGCAGGCGGCCGCGAAUUCACUAGUGAUUAGAGUUUGAUCAUGGCUCAGAACGUACGCUGGCGGCACGCCUAACACAUGCAAGUCGAACGAAGUAGCAAUACUUAGUGGCAGACGGGUGAGUAACAUGUAGGUAUCUGCCCUUUGGCCUGGAAUAACACGAGGAAACUUGUGCUAAUACCGGAUAAGUCUUUACGGAGAAAGCUUUAUGCACCAUUGGAUGAGCCUGCACUUGAUUAGUUUGUUGGUGGGGUAAUGGCCUACCAAGACUGUGAUCAAUAGCUGAUUUGAGAGGAUGAUCAGCCACAUUGGGACUGAGACACGGCCCAAACUCCUACGGGAGGCAGCAGUGGGGAAUCUUGCACAAUGGAGGAAACUCUGAUGCAGCGAUGCCGCGUGAGUGAAGAAGGCCUUUGGGUUGUAAAGCUCUUUCGUCGGGGAAGAAAAUGACUGUACCCGAAUAAGAAGGUCCGGCUAACUUCGUGCCAGCAGCCGCGGUAAUACGAAGGGACCUAGCGUAGUUCGGAAUUACUGGGCUUAAAGAGUUCGUAGGUGGUUGAAAAAGUUAGUGGUGAAAUCCCAGAGCUUAACUCUGGAACUGCCAUUAAAACUUUUCAGCUAGAGUAUGAUAGAGGAAAGCAGAAUUUCUAGUGUAGAGGUGAAAUUCGUAGAUAUUAGAAAGAAUACCAAUUGCGAAGGCAGCUUUCUGGAUCAUUACUGACACUGAGGAACGAAAGCAUGGGUAGCGAAGAGGAUUAGAUACCCUCGUAGUCCAUGCCGUAAACGAUGUGUGUUAGACGUUGGAAAUUUAUUUUCAGUGUCGCAGCGAAAGCGAUAAACAC